This 253-nucleotide ribosomal RNA is filed under the name uncultured bacterium. RNAcentral's name for it is "partial 16S ribosomal RNA". It matches the Rfam family "Bacterial small subunit ribosomal RNA", at positions 524 to 776 of the family's 1533-position model. The record is from RNAcentral.
UACGUAGGGGGCAAGCGUUGUCCGGAAUCAUUGGGCGUAAAGAGCGCGUAGGCGGUCCGGUAAGUCCGCUCUGAAAGUCCGGGGCUCAACCCCGGGAGGCGGGCGGAUACUGUCGGGCUAGAGUCCGGAAGAGGCGAGUGGAAUUCCCGGUGUAGUGGUGAAAUGCGUAGAUAUCGGGAGGAACACCAGUGGCGAAGGCGACUACCUGGCCUGUUCUUGACGCUGAGGCGCGAAAGCUAGGGGAGCAAACGGG